GGAUGAGAGUGGGAUUUACUCUUGAGUUUCCUUGUAGGUAUUAGAGGACAUAUUGCUUUAGUGGGGUGGCUUAAGCAUUAGGUGAGAGUAGGAUUUACUGUCGGGUUUCCCUCUAAGUAUUUGAGGAAGCAUUGCUUCAUUGAGGUGACUUAAACAAUGGGUGGAGAUAGCGGGGCUUUUAUUUUAUGCAAGAGGCAUACAAAUCAUUGUGAGAGAUAUUGAGUGGGGAUUGCUCAAGGGAUCAUUACAUUGUAUGCA
Molecule: unclassified non-coding RNA, 258 nt
Filed under: Hevea brasiliensis (rubber tree)
Lineage: Eukaryota; Viridiplantae; Streptophyta; Magnoliopsida; Malpighiales; Euphorbiaceae
Source: RNAcentral